CAGCAGUAGCCGCGGUAAUACGUAGGGUGCAAGCGUUAAUCGGAAUUACUGGGCGUAAAGCGUGCGCAGGCGGUUUGUUAAGACAGAUGUGAAAUCCCCGGGCUCAACCUGGGAACUGCAUUUGUGACUGGCAGGCUAGAGUAUGGCAGAGGGGGGUGGAAUUCUGCGUGUAGCAGUGAAAUGCGUAGAUAUGCGGAGGAACACCGAUGGCGAAGGCAGCCCCCUGGGCCAAUACUGACGCUCAUGCACGAAAGCGUGGGGAGCAAACAGGAUUAGAUACCCCCGUAGUCCCUGUCUCUUAUAC
Molecule: ribosomal RNA, 304 nt
Filed under: uncultured bacterium
Lineage: Bacteria
Description: partial 16S ribosomal RNA
Rfam family: Bacterial small subunit ribosomal RNA
Source: RNAcentral